Long non-coding RNA from Salvelinus fontinalis (brook trout), 643 nucleotides. RefSeq lists it as uncharacterized. The transcript has 3 exons. Lineage: Eukaryota; Metazoa; Chordata; Actinopteri; Salmoniformes; Salmonidae. The record is from RefSeq and is a predicted model, not a curated record.
UUCAAAAUGCGAAAACCCUCUGUUAAUCCUGAACGCGUAAUUUUAUCUGCAUUUCGAUUUUGUUUAGAAUGUAGCUAGUUUGUUUUUGUAACAACACUUUAUAACUUGGUAGGAUUCAGUAUUUGCCUUGGCCCAUCCGCAUAUGAUGUUUUUUGCACUAUAAUCAAAAAUAGUUUAGAAACUUUGUGUUAUAACAUUGGCGUCCCUGCACGCCUCGACGUUCUACUCAAUAUACUCUUUAAACUCAUUUCCUGUAUCCCCUAUCAACCAACAAGUAAAUAUGGCAAUGCUAUGUCGUGGGCUAUACGUAUUUUCCCCAAUUCAGUUGCUGGAUGAGCAGAUGCAAGAGCAUGAGAAGUAUGGUGGUAAUCCAGAGCAACCCAGUAAACAGCACGUGGUGACGCGGGAGAAGAAGCUAGUGGAGGGAAGUUGCCUGCAGAAGGAUCCAGCCACUCAAGCUGCCCCAUAGUCUCCCUACUGAAGAAGGCACCUACCUGAACAGCAGAGAGAUGAUCAUACGACACCUCAAACAUGUAGAGGACAGUAAAGCUGUGAAUAAGUAGUUUGUCUGGUCUAUCAAAAAAUCCAUGAUUCAAAUGACUCAGUGAAAUCCCUGUACAUGUGUUCAGUCUAGACCUGGACU